ACGCACGCUGGCGGCGUGCUUAACCCCUGCAAGUCGCACGGAAAGGCCCUGCUUUUGUGGGGUGCUCGAGUGGCGAACGGGUGAGUAACACGUGAGUAACCUGCCCUUGACUUUGGGAUAACUUCAGGAAACUGGGGCUAAUACCGGAUAGGAGCUCCUGCUGCAUGGUGGGGGUUGGAAAGUUUCGGCGGUUGGGGAUGGACUCGCGGCUUAUCAGCUUGUUGGUGGGGUAGUGGCUUACCAAGGCUUUGACAGGUAGCCGGCCUGAGAGGGUGACCGGCCACAUUGGGACUGAGAUACGGCCCAGACUCCUACGGGAGGCAGCAGUGGGGAAUAUUGCACAAUGGGCGGAAGCCUGAUGCAGCAACGCCGCGUGCGGGAUGACGGCCUUCGGGUUGUAAACCGCUUUCGCCUGUGACGAAGCGUGAGUGACGGUAAUGGGUAAAGAAGCACCGGCUAACUACGUG
This 467-nucleotide ribosomal RNA is filed under the name uncultured bacterium. RNAcentral describes it as "partial 16S ribosomal RNA". It matches the Rfam family "Bacterial small subunit ribosomal RNA", at positions 29 to 507 of the family's 1533-position model. The record is from RNAcentral.